RNAcentral lists this ribosomal RNA (619 nucleotides) under Escherichia coli. RNAcentral's name for it is "bacterial SSU rRNA". It matches the Rfam family "Bacterial small subunit ribosomal RNA", at positions 46 to 654 of the family's 1533-position model. The record is from RNAcentral. Lineage: Bacteria; Pseudomonadati; Pseudomonadota; Gammaproteobacteria; Enterobacterales; Enterobacteriaceae.
GCCUAACACAUGCAAGUCGAACGGUAACAGGAAGAAGCUUGCUUCUUUGCUGACGAGUGGCGGACGGGUGAGUAAUGUCUGGGAAACUGCCUGAUGGAGGGGGAUAACUACUGGAAACGGUAGCUAAUACCGCAUAACGUCGCAAGACCAAAGAGGGGGACCUUCGGGCCUCUUGCCAUCGGAUGUGCCCAGAUGGGAUUAGCUAGUAGGUGGGGUAACGGCUCACCUAGGCGACGAUCCCUAGCUGGUCUGAGAGGAUGACCAGCCACACUGGAACUGAGACACGGUCCAGACUCCUACGGGAGGCAGCAGUGGGGAAUAUUGCACAAUGGGCGCAAGCCUGAUGCAGCCAUGCCGCGUGUAUGAAGAAGGCCUUCGGGUUGUAAAGUACUUUCAGCGGGGAGGAAGGGAGUAAAGUUAAUACCUUUGCUCAUUGACGUUACCCGCAGAAGAAGCACCGGCUAACUCCGUGCCAGCAGCCGCGGUAAUACGGAGGGUGCAAGCGUUAAUCGGAAUUACUGGGCGUAAAGCGCACGCAGGCGGUUUGUUAAGUCAGAUGUGAAAUCCCCGGGCUCAACCUGGGAACUGCAUCUGAUACUGGCAAGCUUGAGUCUCGUAG